This is a non-coding RNA of Chrysemys picta bellii (western painted turtle), 9974 nucleotides long. The record is from RefSeq and is a predicted model, not a curated record. Lineage: Eukaryota; Metazoa; Chordata; Testudines; Emydidae.
GCCAGAUCCCAAGGGGUUAAAAGGAGCUGGUCUCUUUCACUUCCAUCUUGCAGGAGGUGGCACGCUGCAAGUGUGCAUCUUGCAAUGAACACAAUGUGCGUGGCACAAUGAGGCGGCGCUAUGAAGAUGAUGGCAUCUCAGAUGAUGAAAUUGAAGGAAAGAGGACAUUUGACCUGGAGGAGAAACUCUCCACCAACAAAUUCAAUGCCAACUUCGUCCUCUUUAUGGAAGGCAAAGACUUCAAUGUUGAGUAUAUCCAGCGGGGUGGCCUGAGAGACCCUUUGAUUUUCAAGAACUCCGACGGGCUCGGAAUAAAGAUGCCAGAUCCUGACUUCAGUGUGAAUGACGUGCGACUGUAUGUAGGGAGCCGGCGGAUGGUGGAUGUCAUGGAUGUGAACACACAAAGGGACAUUGAGAUGUCCAUGGCACAGUGGGCACGCUACUAUGAGACCCCAGAGGAGGAGCGGGAGAAAUUGUAUAACGUCAUCAGCUUGGAGUUCAGUCACACAAGGCUAGAGAACCUGGUGCAGAGACCUGCUACGGUGGAUCUGAUUGACUGGGUCGACAACAUGUGGCCAAGACACCUAAAGGAGAGUCAAACGGAGUCUACAAAUGCCAUUCUGGAGAUGCAGUAUCCCAAGGUGCAAAAGUACUGUCUGAUGAGUGUUAAGGGCUGCUACACAGAUUUCCAUGUGGACUUUGGCGGCACCUCCGUAUGGUACCACAUCCACCGAGGGGGAAAGAUCUUCUGGCUGAUCCCGCCAACAUCCCAGAACCUGGAGCUCUACGAGAAUUGGCUGCUGUCAGGGAAACAGGGGGACAUCUUUCUUGGUGACAAAGUGUCAGACUGUCAACGAAUUGAGCUCAAGCAGGGCUACACGUUCGUCAUCCCCUCAGGUUGGAUCCAUGCUGUGUACACUCCCACUGACACUUUGGUUUUCGGGGGCAACUUCCUGCACAGCUUCAACAUCCCCAUGCAGCUACGGAUCUACAACAUUGAAGACCGCACACGGGUCCCAAAUAAGUUUCGCUACCCCUUCUACUAUGAGAUGUGUUGGUAUGUGCUGGAACGCUAUGUUUACUGCAUCACCAGCCACUCCCACCUGACCAAGGACUUCCAGAAGGAAUCACUCAACAUGGAUAUGGAGUUGAGCUGCUUGGAGCCAGGAAACAUGGAUGAAGAGGACGAUGCAGCAGGCAGGGAGCCCAGGCGCCCAGUCACCAGACGAUCAAUUCUCACAAGCCCUGUGGCUAAUGGUGCCAACCUAGACUAUGAUGAAUUAAGCAGAAGUUGCAGGAGCCUGCCAGGCCUCAAGAGAACUCUAUCUAUGGACUCCUCUGACUCCAGCCGGGGCUCCCACAAUGGUCAGGCCUGGGAUCCCCAUGGCAGCAGUCCUUUCAAGUACAGGAAGGUGCAUCUGACCCAGUUCGAACUGGAAGGUCUACGCUGCCUGGUGGACAAGCUGGAGUCACUGCCUCUGCACAAGAAAUGUGUCCCCACGGGCAUAGAGGAUGAGGACGCCCUCAUUGCUGACGUUAAGUUGCUGCUGGAAGAGCACGCAAACAGCGACCCCAAACUGGCACUUACAGGAGUCCCUAUCAUCCAGUGGCCCAAGAGAGACAAGCUAAAGCUCCAGGCCCGACCGAAGGUGCGCCUGCCCACCAUCCCCAUCACCAAGCCUCACACCAUGAAGCCAGCCCCACGCCUGGCGCCUGUAAGGCCCACAGUGUCUCCGAUAGUGUCAGGAGCACGACGGAGGCGAGUGCGGUGCCGUAAAUGCAAGGCCUGCAUGCAAGGCGAGUGUGGCAUGUGCCACUACUGCAGGGACAUGAAGAAGUUUGGGGGGCCUGGUCGCAUGAAGCAGUCCUGCGUCCUCCGGCAGUGCUUAGCGCCCAGGCUGCCUCACUCGGUCACGUGCGCGCUUUGUGGGGAGGUGGAUCAGAAUGAGGAUUCGCAGGACUUUGAGAAGAAGCUCAUGGAAUGCUGCAUCUGCAAUGAGAUAGUUCACCCUGGCUGCCUGCAGAUGGACGGGGAAGGGCUGCUGAAUGAUGAAUUGCCCAAUUGCUGGGAGUGUCCAAAGUGCUACCAGGGUGAUGACUUGGAGAAGGGCCAGGUAAGAGGAGACCCACUCGCCUGGACAGCACCAGUGUGGGGAGAAUGGGAGCACUUGGAUUGCCCUCUAAACGCACACCCCACUCAGAUCUUCUCAGAUGGGGAGAAACGGAAGAUGGAGGAGAGCGAUGAGGACACAGUGCAGGCCAAAGUCCUGCGACCCCUGCGGAGCUGCGAGGAGCCCCUGACACCCCCACCGCACUCGCCCACCUCCAUGCUGCAGCUGAUCCACGACCCGGCAUCGCCGCGGGGUGUGGUGACGCGCUCGUCCCCAGGGGCUGGCCCCAGUGACCACCACAGCGCCAGCCGGGAUGAGCGCUUCAAGCGGCGGCAGCUGCAGCGGCUCCAGGUCACGGAGCGCACCAUGGUGCGGGAGAAGGAGAACAACCCCAGCGGCAAGAAGGAGCUGUCAGAGGUGGAGAAGGCCAAGCUGCAUGGCUCCUACCUUACGGUCACGCUGCAGAGGCCCGCCAAAGACCUGCACGGCACCUCUAUUGUGCCCAAGCUGCAGGCCAUCACCGCCUCCUCCACUAAUCUGCGGCACUCUCCCCGUGUGGUCGUGCGCCACUGCCCAGCCAGGACGCCCCAGCGGGCCGGGGAGGAGGAGGCAGAUGAGGAGGAGGCAGCAGACGAGGAGGAGGAGGAGGAAAGCGCGGAGGAGGGCGGGGCGGCCCGGCUGAAUGGCAGAGGCAGCCGAGUGCAGGACGGCGAGGAGAGCUGGAUGCAGCGCGAGGUGUGGAUGUCCGUCUUCCGCUACCUCAGCCGCAGAGAGCUCUGCGAGUGUAUGCGGGUGUGCAAGACCUGGUACAAAUGGUGCUGCGACAAGAGAUUGUGGACGAAGAUUGAUUUGAGCAGGUGCAAGUCCAUCACUCCCCAGGCCCUGAGCGGCAUCAUCAAGAGGCAGCCGGUCAGCCUCGACCUUAGCUGGACCAAUAUCUCCAAAAAACAGCUCACCUGGCUUGUCAACAGGCUGCCAGGCCUGAAAGACCUCAUCUUAGCAGGCUGUUCCUGGUCUGCAGUCUGUGCGCUCAGUACCUCCAGCUGCCCCCUUCUCAGGACCCUCGAUCUUCGGUGGGCAGUAGGAAUCAAGGACCCUCAGAUCCGGGACUUGCUCACACCUCCCACAGACAAACCUAGUCAAGACAAUCGCAGCAAACUCCGCAACAUGACAGAUUUCCGGCUAGCUGGUCUGGACAUCACCGAUGCCACACUCCGGCUCAUCAUCCGCCAUAUGCCCCUGCUCUCACGACUCGACCUUAGUCACUGCAGCCACCUUACGGACCAGUCGGCCAAUCUCCUAACGGCCGUGGGGUCUUCCACGCGCAACUCGCUCACUGAGAUCAACAUGGCAGGUUGCAAUAAGCUGACGGACCAGUCCCUGCUGUAUCUGCGGCGCAUCUCCAACCUCACCCUGAUCGACCUGCGAGGCUGCAAGCAGAUUACCCGCAAGGCCUGCGAGCACUUCAUCUCAGACCUGUCCAUCAGUAGCCUCUACUGCUUGUCCGACGAGAAGCUGAUCCAGAAAAUCAGCUAGAGACCAACCCCAGGCAGACUGAGGAGAAGGAAAGAUCCCAUCCCACCCCCCUCGGAGAGGGCAAGUUGUCGUCUGCCACGAUCAUGGUGACUCUUCAUAUUCCCCUGCCACCUGGUGUGGGCUCCAGAUCACCCCCACUUAAAAUCAAGUGUGCUAAAUGCAAACUCUCGUUGACUAUCCGACUGCUGAUUGCAACCUGGGAACAGAAGCUGGGGAGUGAAAGACCUAUUGGGAAUUCCAUGAAGCUAUCUGAAUGACAAAAAUGGAGCUGUCCUUCCUGGCCCUGUGCAAACCAGUGGGGAAAUAGGAUUCUCAGCCUGGCAGGAGUAUAGAGACAUCUUGCUAGAAACACAGAUAGGAAGAUGUGCAUCAAUUUGAAGAGAGGAGACAGCUGUAAACAACUCAGUGGGCACUAGCCACCUCUCCACUGAAAGUGGAUCCACUUCAUGAAACUGCCAUCGCUCAGACUUUUUCCUGCAGAGACAUUUGCUCUAUCAAUGGGGGUAGCCCUUUUUCCACCCCAUAGGCAAGGUAUAGGUAUAAGGAAAUUGAUCAGAGUGAAAUUGACAGGGUUCCUGCAUGGGAGCUGCUCUUUCCAAAAAUGGCCAGGUGAGGGCAGUUUAACCCUGGCAAUGAGAAAAGGGGCUGGGUGCAUAGAUCCCUUUUGAGAACUGUCGCAACUCCACUCACUGAUGAAUGGGGGAACUUCUUCCACCUAGCUAACAGCAGAUGAGGCAUUAAACCCAGGGGUUGCCAGACAGGAACAGGCCAUCCCUGCUGGGCUUCCGGCUUCUGCUACUGUCAUGAUUGCACACGGUGCAGCGCAAUUUCAGGCCAUUGGAGACUAACCUAUGGGGUUGCCAGUUUCCUCUUGGAUGCCCUCUCCCCACCCCUCUGCUUUUCCCUGCUCAAAGUGACUGUCUCAAAAACCCAGGCCAUGUUCCUCCUCCCUGCUCCCUGCCAUGUCUUGCUGCCCGCACCCUUUCAUGUGGCCUAUGCCCUGCAGGAGCUGCUCCCCUGGUAUCCUUCACUCGUGCAACCUCCUCAGCUUCACAUUCUGCCAGGCUCUAGCCCUGGUUUCUCCUUUUGAUCCCUCCCCCUGCAGAGCGGGGAAGGGCGGGGAGGGAGAGUUUUUCCUUUCACUUUCUCUGCCCUGCAAAGUCAAGGCUUCCUUUAAUUUCUCCUCCACCUUCCCUAGUUUGCCCCACAACCCAGUUCCUGACAUGUUCCUUUCCCCUACCCCCAUUCCUGGGGUCUCUGUCUGCAACAGGAUUCUCCUAUCACCUACCUUCUGGCUGAGAUUUCCCCAAGUGACUCUUCUGGGUGGCCUUUUAAAGAAGCCUGGAUACAGACUAACACGGCUGCUACUCUGAAACCUGAUUUGUGGAUGUUCAGCUUGGAGGCUUGAAAUUAAUUCCAGUCCCUAUAAAGUGUGUCAAGUAGGUCACCCCAAGCCACCUUCCAACCUUUGGCUAUCAACCCAACUCUAGCAAUGGGGUCUUGGCAGGCCCAGCAGGAGGUGUCACGACCUGCCAUUCUAUCCACAGCACACUGCUCUUUCCUUUGCUCCUUGCUUUGCCUUUAAUGGAGCUGAGCCAUUUAAGCUCAGAUCUUCGUAGGAAUUUAGGCUGCUAACUUCCGCUGCAAUGAAUAGGAGUUAAGUGCCUAAAUACCUUUAAGAAGCUGGGACCUGGAGACCUCACCAACUUCUGGAGACUCUUUGAAACGUGCACUGACCUCGGAACAAAGAGCAAAGGACUCCAAAGGCCGAUGAGGUCAUUCAAUGUGCUGCCCAGCUGUUCCCUUCCACUCAGGAGUUGUGCCUCAAAAAGUGGCGCAGGUGAGAUGGCCAUAUCAGACAGACGAUUAUGAAGAGCGAAAGCCCCAUCCUAGAAGUGACCUAAAGAACCAAAAUGGCCAAAAUCUCUGGAUGCCAGAAAGCAACAUGUCUGGUACAGAGGGUUCCCAGAGGGACUGGGCAGCCCAAAUUCCCAGAUGACCGAGCAAUGCUGCAGACUAAAAAGCAACCUGGAGACAACUGCAACAACGAUGAUGAUGGUGAAAUUGCGCUGGAGUCAAACCCGAAUUAUUGGAGUCAUUACAGGAGUAACUGGGUGACACUGUCUGACCUGUGCUCUGCAGGGUGUCACACUGAAAGAUCUAAUGGUCCCUUCUGGCCUUGGAAUCUGAGACUAGGCGAGGAAAUGUUCAAAGGGUUACAGGAUUCCUUGAGGGCACUGAGUCCUCUGGGUAGAGGUAAUCUGGACUUGGUGGAAGCCUUAAAACUGAACAGGCUCUUAGCACCUUGGGAAUCCCUCUCCCCUGAGAGUUAGAACUUGGCUUCAGGAGAAAAUUGCAGAUUUUUAACAUACGGUGUCAAUUUAAACCAGGGCUAAUCCCUGCCAGGAGAGGCUUUCCCUUUGGCUUAACCAGGCUCCAAUCAGUUUAAGUCAAUAAGGAACCAGUUUAAACUAAUCUCCAAUAAGCCACUCUUAAAAAAGAACUGCUUUCCCCUAAAAGCUCCUGGUGACAUCCGGCAUGCCCUGAGCAUGGGCCUUCCUUCCGCUCCAGUGGCAGGCAUAGCCCCUCUAGCUAGGCUCAUGCCCAGUUUGUGUCUGGUUAGAUACAUUGCCUGUCCUUCUCAAUGGAAACAUUCUCACGUAGAGUUUUGUUUCCUCGGCGCUGGAUAAAAUGCUACUAGUGGCGGCGGGGUUAGCGAAAAUAAUCCCAAAUUGAUAAGCCACGUCGUCACACGUAUUUGUGUUUAUCAUUCUGAUCUACACCCUGCAAAGGCCCAGGCACCUGCCACUGGGUCUUUGUGGGAAUCUUUACUUUUCCUUUCCAAACGACACAGUUCCUCCAGUCUGCCAAGAGUUGAAGCAUAAAAAUGAGGUGUGUGGUGGAGGGGGGGAGUAGGGUUGGUGCAGCACCUAGCAUAGUGGGCUCCUGCUCCAUUGCUGGGUCUCCUAGGUGCUACCACAAUGUAGAUAACAUGCUUAACUUUAAGCACGUGCUUAACUUUAAGGACAUUGGAACCCCAUUGCUUUAAAUGCCUUGUUAGAUUGGGGUCAUAAGGGUUGAGGUGGGUUAGUUCAGGGGAAAAUCGCCCACUGUUGCUUCUAAGGAAAGCCAGAGACCUCUGGCUGUGCUGGGCAUACAACAAACAUAGUUGCCCUUAGAUGGAGGGUUGGAGUCCAGCUGUUAGGCUUUGAGCUCCUGCCCCAGGUCAUCAGCCUGGUCCAUGCAUCAUCCUAGUAAAUGCUCGGCACCCAUCAGACUCUUGAGGGUGCAACCUUAUUGCCUUUCAGGGAAUUGCACCAUCUCUAAAACAGAUCUUCUGCCCAGGCGUGUUAUCCACCACCCCGAGGGCUGUGAACGAGUGCACGUUUGCCCACCAAGCUCUGGAUCUUGCAGCAGACACAUGACCCAGAGAUGUGGUGUCUGGCAUUAUGCUGCACCGCUCGAAGGUGCCUACUGUACCCAGGGUGUGGGCCAGUUGGCCCAUCUCCCUUCGGUGAAGGUUUGCAUGGGGGCAGAGCUGAUGAUGUUCUGAAGAAGGUAGAAGAGGGUAGGGCCUGGGGAAUUGGCCUCAUUGAAGUCCAAGGCAAAACUUCCAGUGAUUUUAGUAACAGUUACCCAGGUCCACUGCCUGCUCUCCAGCCAGAGGAGAAGGAACCCAUCCUGGCAAUCUUCUUGGUUCCAUAAACAAAACCCUCAUUCUGGCUCCUUUGCACCUUGAGCCAGCCCCCUCUAGCCUUGUUUGCUGCACCAACUGUAGAGGAGACAGAGGGCAGGGGGAGAUACUCUGGCCUCCUGGUUCUCCUGCUGGCCCAUCCUUGGAUCUGAUGGGUUGUCCAGGAGCCCUGUCCCACUCUGCAAUCCCUGUCCUUCCUCUCCCUUCUGGAAGCUCUCUGGUCUGUUUCCUUGACAUGUGGGACCUCCACAGACCAUCGAGUUCAGUCUGGAGACCUGUCCCAUGCCCCCUCGCCUGCCCCUUCUUGGGGAACCCUCCCCUCACCCUGCUCAGAACAGACCUGGUUUCCUCAUUCAGGGUGAGUGCUGAAGAGGAGAUGCCAGCAGCAUGGAGGGGAAAGCUGCUCCUGAGAGAGAUGCCUUUCCCUCAGCAGGUGCCAUUUGCACCUCCCCAGAUUUUCAAGGCAGGCCAGACACCAUCUCGCAGGUAUCCUGCCCCCAGAGCAGUAACUUCCGGUGGAGCCAGAGCCUGUCCUUGAGCAAACCCCCAAACUUGCAAAGUUCCACAUUCUGAUUCUGGAUUCCUCACCCUAAAAGACACAGAUUUUUGCUUGCACUCACUCACUCACUCACUCACUCACCCACCCAAAGCACCCUUCUUUCCAUCCACCAGUGAUCCUAGCCCACAGCGGUGUCGCUGCAGCACCAUGUGUCUUCCACAGGAGCCUAGUAGCGGUGACAGCAUCGUACCGCUGCCAGGAAACGCAUGGGUGCCAUACAUAGAUAAACUUGUUCAGCACCAUCCUCCAGAAAUGGGCUCCAUCUGCACCAGCUCCCUCAUCUGCCAUUGCAAACCCUGAGGCUUGUAUGGGGGAGGUGAGUCUGUGUAUGCAAAGGGCCAAGGAGGAGCAUGGUCUUCAGGAGGGUCCUUGUCUGGUAGCAUUGGGAGAUCAGCAGGGGGUGGAGGGGAAUGACUCUGCUGCCCCCACCUGCCGAAAUGCCUUAGAUUCAGCCUUGAAGGGACAUUAGCCAAUGCACUGGCAUCACUUAGCAGCCUGACUUUGACCAGGACUUAAGCUUGGGUCACUUAAGCCAAGAUCCUCAAAGGUAUUUAGGCACCUAACUCACAUUGAUGGGAAAUCAGCCAGAGAUGAGCACCUAACAUCUUUUGAGGCUCUGGGCUUUGUGCUUUGUCCAGUGCUCCCCAGAGCCCUGUUCUGCUUUCACCCCAAUGUCAGGACCUUCCUGGGGUUCCUGCUGUCUCCGGACCUCCAGCAUUCAGCAGAAAGAACCAAGGUGGUUGGGGAACCUCUUAACACCUCAGCUCUGAUGGCUUGGGGGUAGGGGGGCCUUCAAAAAGUAUCUGACGCUCACUGGGGCUGCAAUCUCACACGUGUCUCUGUGCAGAAAGGCCACUGUCUGAAAGAAGAAAUGCAGCACAAUUGGUGGCAAAGGACCUCUUUCCCUGAAACACCUGGGGGCCUGAACUCUGAAAUUGGUCAGCAUCCUCCCUUCUUACUGUCCUGAUCUAGGGAAUCCCAUUCCACCUUUAAAGGGAGACUUUUAUUGAAACAGGUAAUGACACAAACAGGCUUUCCCCCCCAGCUCACAUUCCAGCUUUGUCUCUCUUGUUUAUCAGACACCACGCUGGUCCUGGGUUUCUCCACAGCACCUGGAGACCUCUAGUGGCUAGAUCAUAUACUGUAAGUAACUAUAGUACACCUAAUAUUUGGGAACUGCUUCUUUAGCAUGCAGCCACAGAUUUUUCUGCUGCUUGGCACAGCACAGAGAAUUGCAUCUGUACUCUGUGGGGAACUGGACCCAUGCGCUGAGACCCGAGUCUGGCAGUCUCCUGUGCAGAAGUCUGGGGAUUUCCCCAGAAACUGCAUGGAGGUUUGAAAAAGUGGAUGCUUUAAUAGAAUUAAAUGAAAGUGACCCAUGCCUUCAGCCCCGUGUCCUACUUUUCCCACAUUACCCACCCCAUCCGUGCUGUUGGCCUGUGUUUCAUUUGAUCUUGGAUCUAGGUGAUUUGAUGCUGGCCCUGAACUUCCAGUGUGCUGUCCAUGCAUCACUGCACCACCGAGGUGACUGGGAUGACGGUUGGACUUGAUAGUGUCCCGAAGUCCCUCUCCACCCAAUGUGGCUAAGAUUCUCCGGCCCAUGCUGUGCAGGAGGGCAGGCUGGAGAGAACAAUGGUCUCUACUGGCCUGGUAGAGGCUGCUCUAGCUACAAGCAGACUGGGGGUAGCAAGGGACAAGGCUGGGAGGGGGCAGUCGCCAGCUGGGACUCCGAGGAAGUGGCCCCCAGCCAGGCUGCUGGGAAGCAUUUUCCACCCCGCACGACCACCACCAUUAGCAGGGGUAGGAUCAUGGCCGGGGCUGUGCCUGGUGCUACCGUAACUGCUGCCUGAGCUUUGGCCACAAGCACAGUGGCCCAUCUGUCCCCAUGUAGGCACCCGGCCUGCCACUCCACUGCACACCUUGCUGGCCGGGCAGUUCCCUGCCCUGGCCACCACUACAUCAAUUACACCAUGUGGCCAAGGAGCCUGGCAGCAAGAGCUCAUCCAUGGGCAGGGUUUUCUGGGGGCCAGGCAGGAGGUGUGGGCUCAGGGUGUGAGUGGGGGGGAGCCAGGUG